Molecule: ribosomal RNA, 465 nt
Filed under: uncultured bacterium
Lineage: Bacteria
Description: partial 16S ribosomal RNA
Rfam family: Bacterial small subunit ribosomal RNA
Source: RNAcentral
CCUACGGGAGGCAGCAGUAGGGAAGCUUCCACAAUGGGCGAAAGCCUGAUGGAGCAAAGCCGCGUGGGUGAAGAAGGUCUUCGGAUCGGAAAACCCUGUUGUUAGAGAAGAAAGUGCGGGAGAGUAACUGUUCACGUCUCGACGGUAUCUAACCAGAAAGCCACGGCUAACUACGUGCCAGCAGCCGCGGUAAUACGUAGGUGGCAAGCGUUAUCCGGAUUUAUUGGGCGUAAAGGGAACGCAGGCGGUCUUUUAAGUCUGAUGUGAAAGCCUUCGGCUUAACCGGAGUAGUGCAUUGGAAACUGGGAGACUUGAGUGCAGGAGAGGAGAGUGGAACUCCAUGUGUAGCGGUGAAAUGCGUAGAUAUAUGGAAGAACACCAGUGGCGAAGGCGGCUCUCUGGUCUGUAACUGACGCUGAGGUUCGAAAGCGUGGGUAGCAAACAGGAUUAGAUACCCCUGUAGUC